RNAcentral lists this ribosomal RNA (253 nucleotides) under uncultured bacterium. Its description in RNAcentral is "partial 16S ribosomal RNA". It matches the Rfam family "Bacterial small subunit ribosomal RNA", at positions 524 to 776 of the family's 1533-position model. The record is from RNAcentral.
UACGUAGGGGGCUAGCGUUGUCCGGAAUCAUUGGGCGUAAAGAGCGUGUAGGCGGCCCGGUAAGUCCGCUGUAAAAGUCAGAGGCUCAACCUUUGAAUGUCAGUGGAUACUGCCGGGCUAGAGUGCGGAAGAGGCGAGUGGAAUUCCUGGUGUAGCGGUGAAAUGCGCAGAUAUCAGGAGGAACACCAAUUGCGAAGGCAGCUCGCUGGGACGUGACUGACGCUGAGACGCGAAAGCGUGGGGAGCAAACAGG